AAUCAACGCUGGCGGCAUGCCUGACACAUGCAAGUCGAGCGAGAAAGUGUAGCAAUACAUGAGUACAGCGGCGCACGGGUGAGUAACACGUGGAUAACCUGCCUCAAAGUGGGGAAUAACACCGGGAAACCGGUGCUAAUACCGCAUAUUCUGACUGAGUCUGCGGAUUUGGUCAGGAAAGGAGCAAUUCGCUAUGAGAGGGGUCCGCGGCUGAUUAGCUAGUUGGUGAGGUAAUGGCUCACCAAGGCUACGAUCAGUAGCCGGUCUGAGAGGACGGUCGGCCACACUGGAACUGAGACACGGUCCAGACUCCUACAGGAGGCAGCAGUGGGGGAAUUUUUCGCAAUGGGGGAAACCCUGACGAAGCAAUGCCGCGUGGAUGAUGAAGUCUCUUGGGACGUAAAAUCCUUUCGACAGGGACGAAACCGCAAGGUUGACGGUACCUGUAGAAGAAGCCCCGGCUAACUCCGUGCCAGCAGCCGCGGUAAUAC
This 491-nucleotide ribosomal RNA is filed under the name uncultured bacterium. Its description in RNAcentral is "bacterial SSU rRNA". It matches the Rfam family "Bacterial small subunit ribosomal RNA", at positions 32 to 526 of the family's 1533-position model. The record is from RNAcentral.